UGACCCAUGGUGUAAUCGGUAACACGACUGUUUUUGGUGCAGUUAUUCAAGGUUCGAGUCCUUGUGGGUCAA
RNAcentral lists this transfer RNA (72 nucleotides) under Phaeodactylibacter sp. RNAcentral describes it as "tRNA-Gln". It matches the Rfam family "tRNA". From Rfam's summary of the family: Transfer RNA (tRNA) molecules are approximately 80 nucleotides in length. Their secondary structure includes four short double-helical elements and three loops (D, anti-codon, and T loops). The record is from RNAcentral. Lineage: Bacteria; Pseudomonadati; Bacteroidota; Saprospiria; Saprospirales; Haliscomenobacteraceae.